GACUACCUGAAAACACCCUAUGAAUUUUUCAAAGAUAUAGUUACAGACGAAAUGAUUGAAACCCAAACAAACAUUAAACGAUCAUGCGGAUAGCAUUGAUCAAGCUGAGUGGGGAAAAGCCACAAAAUUCAGGUAAGACAAUCAGGUCAUAGACGCCAAACCCCUCAAUGAGUGAUUUAUGACUGACUGACAGCCGAGAGAAAGAAUUUCGCGCGCCACCUGAGGGGCAAUCAAAAUGUAAACAAAGAUCAGCUGACCUGCGCCUUGCGUGGAGGUAUUACUAUCAGGUGUAUGCAGCGUGUAGGAUAUUGCCUUCAUGUUUUAAUUUUGGUUUAAUAUUCAAGCUUAAUAUUCAGGUUUAAUAUACAGGCCUACCAGGACGUUGUUGAUUUUGUUUGAUUGUUUUUUUUUUUUUUAGUACCAGCAUACAUGUAGGAGUGAUAUCAGUGCUCAAAUGUUUACUGUAGGAGUGGCCUCAACCACAUGCCUGAUCAUUUGUCCCUUUUGCAGGCAAAUUCACCCUUUAUAAUAAUGUGUUUCUGCAUUAUUUCAGUUGCACGUGCAAGUAUGAUAAUGGUGCUCCAUGUUAUCGUCUAUUCCCUCCGGAGGAGAUGAUGAAGCGCAGAGGUGAUAUGAGAGAACUAAUUCCUCGAGACCAGAUGCUUGUUCUGUUGGGAAAGAUUUCCUGCGCCAUGAACUUAUCCGAUAUGACUAUGAAAACAAAACGCCGAGAACAGAAACCACGUGAACAUCAAGGGACAUUUUAUUGGAAGGAAAACAAUUGUGUCGUGACACAUUCAAGUUCUUGCAUUGUAUCAGCCAGGACCGCUUGACCGGCCUUCUGAAGCACUACAAGGAAAAUGGUCUACAGCCCAAGGAGAAGAGAAAUGGUGGCCGAAAAUCUAACACUAGGUCCUUCAUGUAUGAAGAUGUUCAACGAACUGUGCAGUU
This is a long non-coding RNA of Liolophura sinensis, 951 nucleotides long. RefSeq lists it as uncharacterized. Lineage: Eukaryota; Metazoa; Mollusca; Polyplacophora; Chitonida; Chitonidae. The record is from RefSeq and is a predicted model, not a curated record. The transcript is spliced from 3 exons.